This 148-nucleotide non-coding RNA is filed under the name Pan paniscus (pygmy chimpanzee). Lineage: Eukaryota; Metazoa; Chordata; Mammalia; Primates; Hominidae. RNAcentral also lists the same sequence under 1 other name. The record is from Rfam by way of RNAcentral.
GCUGGGUAUGGUGGCGCAUGCCUGUAAUCCCAGCUACUUGGAAGGCUGAGGCAGGAGAAUCGCUGGAACCCAGGAGGUAAAGGUUGCAGUGAGCUGAGAUCGCACCACUGCACUCCAUCCUGGGUGACAGAGCGAGACUCCGUCUCAA